AUACGUAGGGGGCUAGCGUUAUCCGGAAUUACUGGGCGUAAAGGGUGCGUAGGUGGUUUCUUAAGUCAGAAGUGAAAGGCUACGGCUCAACCGUAGUAAGCUUUUGAAACUAAGAGACUUGAGUGCAGGAGAGGAGAGUAGAAUUCCUAGUGUAGCGGUGAAAUGCGUAGAUAUUAGGAGGAAUACCAGUUGCGAAGGCGGCUCUCUGGACUGUAACUGACACUGAGGCACGAAAGCGUGGGGAGCAAACAGGAUUAGAUACCCUGGUAGUCCACGCCGUAAACGAUGAGUACUAGCUGUCGGGGGUUACCCCCCUCGGUGGCGCAGCUAACGCAUUAAGUACUCCGCCUGGGGAGUACGUCCGCAAGGAUGAAACUCAAAUGAAUUGACGGGG
Molecule: ribosomal RNA, 394 nt
Filed under: uncultured bacterium
Lineage: Bacteria
Description: partial 16S ribosomal RNA
Rfam family: Bacterial small subunit ribosomal RNA
Source: RNAcentral